UACAGAGGGUGCAAGCGUUGUCCGGCAUUACUGGGCGUAAAGGGCGCGUAGGCGGCUUGCUAAGUAGGGGGUGAAAUUUCGUGGCUCAACCACGAAACUGCCUUCUAAACUGUCAGGCUUGAGCACGGUAGAGGCAGAUGGAAUUCCCGGUGUAGCGGUGGAAUGCGUAGAGAUCGGGAAGAACACCAGUGGCGAAGGCGGUCUGCUGGGCCGUUGCUGACACUGAGGCGCGACAGCGUGGGGAGCAAACAGG
RNAcentral lists this ribosomal RNA (253 nucleotides) under uncultured bacterium. Its description in RNAcentral is "partial 16S ribosomal RNA". It matches the Rfam family "Bacterial small subunit ribosomal RNA", at positions 524 to 776 of the family's 1533-position model. The record is from RNAcentral.